Non-coding RNA from Macaca mulatta (Rhesus monkey), 415 nucleotides. The record is from RefSeq and is a predicted model, not a curated record. NCBI's taxonomy places the organism in Eukaryota, Metazoa, Chordata, Mammalia, Primates, Cercopithecidae.
CUCCUGCCUCAGCCUCCCAUGUAGCUGGAAUUACAGGAUGCUGGUGAUUUCCAGGAAGUGACCUCACAAUGACUCAAGCUACCACUUACUGUUGAUUGUGGUGAAAUGCCAGGUGAAGCGUAUGCCCUGCGAGCUUAGGGGUGCUACAGUUGACCACUGCCACAGUAAAGAUGACUCUGAAGAAUGGCAUGGGAUGGAUCCUUUCGAAUGCACUUGAGCAGCGGUCUCCAACCAAAGGGCCAUAGAACCGGAGAUGGACAGUGUCGUUGCAGGAAAACAAGCUCAGAGAUCCCACUGAGUCUACAUUAUACUGGAUCUACCAUGAAAGACUUCUGAAUCCAGGAAGAGAGACUGACUGGGCAACAUGUUAUUCAGGAGAUGAGGUCUCACCCUGUCACCCAGGCUGGAGUACAGU